This 497-nucleotide ribosomal RNA is filed under the name uncultured bacterium. RNAcentral's name for it is "partial 16S ribosomal RNA". It matches the Rfam family "Bacterial small subunit ribosomal RNA", at positions 28 to 507 of the family's 1533-position model. The record is from RNAcentral.
GAUGAACGCUGGCGGCGUGCCUAAUACAUGCAAGUCGAGCGGACGGACGAGACGCUUGCUUCUCUGAUGUUUGCGGCGGACGGGUGAGUCACACGUGGAUCCUCUACCUAUAUUUCUGGGAUAACUUCGGGAAACCGGAGCUAACACCGGAUGAUAUUCUGAACCGUGUGGGUCAAAGGAGAAAUACGGUGUUUCUGUCUCGUAUAGAUGCUUCUCCGCUGCAUUAGCUGGUUGGUAAGGUCACGGCCUUCCACGGCAACGAUGCAUAGCCGACCUCAGAGAGGGGUCGGCCACCCUGGAACUGGGACGCGGUCCAGACUCCUACGAGAGGCAGCAGUAGGGAAUCUUCCGCAAUAGGCGAGAGCCUGGCGGAGCAACGGGGAGUGAGUGAUGAAGGUCUUCGGAUCGGAAUGCUCUGUUAUUAGGGAAGAACAUAUGUGUACGGAGCUGUACACAUCGUGACGGUACCUAGUCAGGAAGCCACGGCUAACUACGUG